RNAcentral lists this ribosomal RNA (520 nucleotides) under uncultured Glomus. RNAcentral describes it as "SSU rRNA". It matches the Rfam family "Eukaryotic small subunit ribosomal RNA", at positions 569 to 1089 of the family's 1831-position model. The record is from RNAcentral. Lineage: Eukaryota; Fungi; Glomeromycota; Glomeromycetes; Glomerales; Glomeraceae.
AGCAGCCGCGGUAAUUCCAGCUCCAAUAGCGUAUAUUAAAGUUGUUGCAGUUAAAAAGCUCGUAGUUGAAUUUCGGGAUCAAUACGUUGGUCGUGCUUUCGGGUACGUACUGGCGUCAUUGGUUUCUCUCUUCUGACGAACCAUGAUGUCAUUAGUUUGGUGUUAUGGGGAGUUAGGACUGUUACUUUGAAAAAAUUAGAGUGUUUAAAGCAGGCUCACGCUUGAAUACAUUAGCAUGGAAUAAUGAAAUAGGACGUUUGAUUCUAUUUUGUUGGUUUCUAGGAUUGACGUAAUGAUUAAUAGGGAUAGUUGGGGGCAUUAGUAUUCAAUUGUCAGAGGUGAAAUUCUUGGAUUUAUUGAAGACUAACUACUGCGAAAGCAUUUGCCAAGGAUGUUUUCAUUAAUCAAGAACGAAAGUUAGGGGAUCGAAGACGAUCAGAUACCGUCGUAGUCUUAACCAUAAACUAUGCCGACUAGGGAUCGGAUGAUGUUAAUUUUUUAAUGACUCAUUCGGCGCCUU